GUGCUCACUUAGGCAGCACAUAUACUAAAUUAGAAUGAUACAGAGAAGAUUAAAGUGGCCCCUGAGUAGGGAUAACACACAAAUUGGUGAAGUGCUCCAUAUUAAA
Vulpes vulpes (red fox) is the source of this 106-nucleotide small nuclear RNA. NCBI's taxonomy places the organism in Eukaryota, Metazoa, Chordata, Mammalia, Carnivora, Canidae. The record is from Ensembl.